This 491-nucleotide ribosomal RNA is filed under the name uncultured bacterium. Its description in RNAcentral is "bacterial SSU rRNA". It matches the Rfam family "Bacterial small subunit ribosomal RNA", at positions 802 to 1298 of the family's 1533-position model. The record is from RNAcentral.
GUAAACGAUGAAUACUAGGUGUAGGGGGACUGACCCCCCCUGUGCCGGAGUUAACACAAUAAGUAUUCCACCUGGGGAGUACGACCGCAAGGUUGAAACUCAAAGGGAUUGACGGGGGCCCGCACAAGCAGUGGAUUAUGUGGUUUAAUUCGAAGCAACGCGAAGAACCUUACCAGGGCUUGACAUGGAGACGACCGCACUGGAGACAGUGCUUUCCUUCGGGACGUCUCACACAGGUGGUGCAUGGUUGUCGUCAGCUCGUGUCGUGAGAUGUUGGGUUAAGUCCCGCAACGAGCGCAACCCCUAUUGUUAGUUGCUACGCAAGAGCACUCUAGCGAGACUGCCGUUGAUAAAACGGAGGAAGGUGGGGACGACGUCAAAUCAUCAUGCCCCUUAUGUCCUGGGCUACACACGUAGUACAAUGGCGUUCAACAGAGGGAAAGCUAAGCCGCGAGGUGGAGCAAAUCCCCAAAAGGCGUCUCAGUUCGGAU